GGGCUUUGCUCAACAAGGUCGUUCGGUGACCUAUAGUUGUUAAUUUCUGUGUCAUUUUGGUCUCUUGUGGAGAGUUGUCUCAUUGGCAAUCAUACCACAUCUUCUUUUUUAUAUUUAUUAUCAGCAUUGAAAUAUUAUUUCACAGUAUUUGAACAUCAGAUUUUGACCCAAUUAAUAGUACCUCCCCUCAGCAUUCACUGGAAGGUUUAUUAUCUCUAAUGGUCAAAGCUUGUAGUUCUUCAAUAAGUUGUAAUAUCAUGAAAUUAAAUCUCCUCUAUUGC
RNAcentral lists this long non-coding RNA (281 nucleotides) under Mytilus galloprovincialis (Mediterranean mussel). Lineage: Eukaryota; Metazoa; Mollusca; Bivalvia; Mytilida; Mytilidae. The record is from RNAcentral.